GGCUCUGAAGGUAAAGAACCUCCCUGAAAUGCAGGAAACCCAGGUUCAAACCCUGGGUCA
This 60-nucleotide transfer RNA is filed under the name Bos taurus (domestic cattle). The record is from Rfam by way of RNAcentral. RNAcentral also lists the same sequence under 4 other names. Lineage: Eukaryota; Metazoa; Chordata; Mammalia; Artiodactyla; Bovidae.